Molecule: ribosomal RNA, 468 nt
Filed under: uncultured bacterium
Lineage: Bacteria
Description: partial 16S ribosomal RNA
Rfam family: Bacterial small subunit ribosomal RNA
Source: RNAcentral
GACGAACGCUGGCGGCGCGCCUAACACAUGCAAGUCGAACGGGGCCAAGAGGAGCUUGCUUUUCUUGACUUAGUGGCGGACGGGUGAGUAACGCGUGAGUAACCUGCCCUGGAGUGGGGGACAACAAUUGGAAACGACUGCUAAUACCCCAUAAGCCCACGGAUUUGCAUGGAUCUGCGGUAAAAGGAUUAAUUCGUUCUAGGAUGGACUCGCGUCCAAUUAGCUAGUUGGUGAGGUAAAGGCCCACCAAGGCGACGAUUGGUAGCCGGACUGAGAGGUUGAACGGCCACAUUGGGACUGAGACACGGCCCAGACUCCUACGGGAGGCAGCAGUGGGGGAUAUUGCACAAUGGGGGAAACCCUGAUGCAGCGACGCCGCGUGGAGGAAGAAGGUUUUCGGAUUGUAAACUCCUGUUGUUAGGGAUGAUAAUGACGGUACCUAAAGAGAAAGCACCAGCUAACUACGUG